UGUUAGCGGCGGACGGGUGAGUAACACGUGGGUAACCUACCUAUAAGACUGGGAUAACUCCGGGAAACCGGGGCUAAUACCGGAUAAUAUUUUGAACCGCAUGGUUCGAUAGUGAAAGACGGUUUCGGCUGUCACUUAUAGAUGGACCCGCGCCGUAUUAGCUAGUUGGUAAGGUAACGGCUUACCAAGGCGACGAUACGUAGCCGACCUGAGAGGGUGAUCGGCCACACUGGAACUGAGACACGGUCCAGACUCCUACGGGAGGCAGCAGGA
This 273-nucleotide ribosomal RNA is filed under the name uncultured Staphylococcus sp. RNAcentral's name for it is "partial 16S ribosomal RNA". It matches the Rfam family "Bacterial small subunit ribosomal RNA", at positions 90 to 354 of the family's 1533-position model. Lineage: Bacteria; Bacillati; Bacillota; Bacilli; Caryophanales; Staphylococcaceae. The record is from RNAcentral.